GCAGCUCCUUCUUCCCCCAUUUGCAUGCAACGCAGCAAAACAGAUUUGGGGAGAAAGAAGAGCCCCCAAACCCUUAACCUCCUUUGAUCCACCAUAACUCUUCCGUCCGGGCUCCGAUCGCCGCACCGUUCACGGCCACGCGCUCAGCGCGUUGAGCUCUACCUUUCUAUCCGAAUAAUUUCACUGGUUCAAGUUAGCUUCCGGAACUUGUGGGCUCAAGCUAUUGAGCAUAUGGGUAUGGUGUAGUUUAAGAGGGUGUUUAUGCAUUGGACUUGAAUUUGGAUUACUUGGAGCUUUGUUGGUGACAAGGCUUACUUUGGGGCUAUUUGAUU
Molecule: RNA transcript, 332 nt
Organism: Arachis ipaensis
Lineage: Eukaryota; Viridiplantae; Streptophyta; Magnoliopsida; Fabales; Fabaceae
Source: RefSeq, a predicted model, not a curated record